Cynara cardunculus var. scolymus (artichoke) is the source of this 3438-nucleotide RNA transcript. It is a transcript of the gene named pentatricopeptide repeat-containing protein At2g17140, with no coding region annotated. The transcript has 4 exons. The record is from RefSeq and is a predicted model, not a curated record. NCBI's taxonomy places the organism in Eukaryota, Viridiplantae, Streptophyta, Magnoliopsida, Asterales, Asteraceae.
UCAUAUAAGCAGUGGAAUCAUGAAAGGACCGAGAGUUGGUAGCAACUGGUUCAACUCUUUUCAGAAGCCCUGAGCUUCCAUCCAUUCCAUCUUCCGCCAUUUUAACUAAGCAUGAAGCUAGCACGAGAAUUAAGCAAGGCCCUUAUCAACAACAUCAACAAUCCGAGAUUUGCUUGGCAGAUCUUCAAACGCAUCGCUUCCAAUCCCAACUUCCCACCCCAUGCAUUCAUCCCAUCGCUGCCUGUUGUCAUCCAAAUCCUUGUCGGAGCCAAAAUGUUCACCCAAAUCAAUGCCCUUCCGCAACUCCUCCUCACACACCCAACCCACACUUGCCACCACUCUAUGAUCUUGCUCGUGCGACUUCUAGCCAAAUUGGGUCAUGUCACUCUCGCUAUUUCUCAGUUGCAAACCCUUCGAGCUCACCACCCCAAUAGACCUCCCCCAGUUUCCUUGUACAACCUACUUAUUCGGUCCUCGCUUCGACAAAAUCUCCCACAUUGUGUUCGUUUUUUGUAUGAAGAUAUGAUUAUUUCUAGGGUUUCCCCUGAAACUUACACUUUUAACCUCUUGAUUGGUGGGUUGUGUGAUUCGGGUUGGUUAGAAGAUGCACGGAAGGUGUUUGAUAAAAUGCAUGAGAGAGGAUGUCUACCUAAUGAGUUCACUUUCGGAAUUUUGGUUCGUGGGUAUUGCAGGGCUGGGCAUGCUAGCCAAGGUUUGGAGCUUUUAGAGGUAAUGAGGAGUAUGGAGGUUGUUCCUAAUAUUGUUAUUUACAAUACGUUGGUUUCAACUUUUUGCAAGGAAGGUAAAACUGAUGAAGCAGAGAAGCUAGUCGAGAGGAUAAGGGAGGAUGGUCUCGUUCCCAAUGUAGUUACUUUCAAUUCCAGGAUUUCAGCUCUAUGUAGUGCAGGAAAAAUUUUGGAGGCUUCCCAGAUUUUCAGAGAUAUGCAAGUAGAUAAGGAGUUAGGCUUGCCUCAGCCUGACAUGAUAACUUACAAUUUGAUGCUUGAAGGAUUUUGCAAGGGAGGAAUGAUCGAGGAAGCAAAGACACUGGUUGAAUCUAUGAAGGAAAGUGGUGUUUCCUUGGAAGUAGAAAGUUAUAACAUAUGGUUGUCGGGUUUGGUGAGAAAUGCAAAGCUUUUGGAGGCACAAUUAGUUCUCAAUGAGAUGGCAGAAAAGCACAUAUGGCCAACUAUUGUCACAUACAAUAUCAUGAUGGAUGGUUUAUGCAAGAAUGGUAUGCUGCGUGAUGUGAAAAUGGUCAUGAGUUCAAUGAAAAAUGAUGGAGUGGCUCCUGAUGUAGUCUCAUAUAGCAUCCUACUUCAUGGCUACUGCAAAAAAGGGAUGAUCAAUGAAGCCAAUAAACUUCUACGUAAAAUGAUUGCAAAUGGCUGUUUUCCUAAUAAUUACACUUGCAAUAGUUUGCUAGAGAGCCUAUGGAAAGAGGGUAGAGUAUUGGAGGCGGAGGAAUUACUGAAUAAGAUGGAAGAAAGGGGUUAUGCCUUGGAUACGGUGACCUAUAAUAUUGUUCUUGAUGGGCUAUGUAAAAGUGGCAAGGUGGACAAAGCAGUUGAAAGCAUGCAUGAAAUGCGGAAUCAAGAGAAUGCUGCUCCCAGUGACCUGGAUAAUUCCUAUGUUGGCCUUGCCAAUGACGAUAACAAUAGGAAUGGUUGCACGCCUGACCUAAUUAGUUAUUCCACCAUAAUUAAUGCAUUAUGCAAGGAUGGGAAGUUUGAUGAAGCCAAAAAGAAGUUCAUAGAAAUGAUAGGGAGAAAUGUAUACCCAGAUUCAAUCAUUUAUGAUAUUUUUGUAUGUAAUUUAUGUAAAAUGGGAAAGGUAUCGUCGGCUUUUCGGGUUCUCAAGGACAUGGAGAAAAAAGGGUACAACAAGAGCUUGCAAACAUACAACUCUUUAAUCCUUGGGUUAGGAAUGAAAGGUCAAUUCUUUGAAAUGUAUGGCUUGAUGGAUGAAAUGAGAGAAAGAGGUAUCUCUCCCAAUGUUCGUACUUACAAUAAUAUGAUAAGAUGUCUAUGUGAAUCAGGGCAAACUGAUGAUGCCACUAAACUAUUGGAUGAAAUGUUGACUAAAGGUGUGUCUCCUAACAUUUCAUCCUUCAAGUUAUUGAUCAGACCUCUAUGCCAAAUAGGAGAGUUCAGACCAGCACAGGAGGUAUUUGAUAUUUCAUUAAGUAUAUUUGGUCAUAAGGAAGUGCUAUACAACUUCAUGUUCAAUGAAUUAGUUGCUGGAGAGGAGCUCUUGGAAGCAAAGGACAUUUUCUUGUCUGCAUUGGAUAGAUGUUUUGAUCUAGGGAACUUCCAAUAUGAAGAUUUCAUUGGCAGACUCUGCAAGGUUGAAAUGUUAGAAUGUGCCAGUGAUGUUCUGAAAAAAAUGAUUCAAAAAGGAUACGCAUUUGAACCCGCCUCAUUUAUGCCUGUAAUUGAUGGUUUGCGCACAACCGGAAAUAAACAUGAGGCUGAUGAAUUUGCUGAGCGGAUGCUGGAGAUGGCUUCAGAGCUUAAGGUUACAAAUCAAGUUAGCCGAAAUGUUAGGGUGUUUAACCGCAAAAAAGUUUCAAAUAACAAUGAAAACAGUUGGCAGAGCAUACUGCACAGGGAUGAUGGCAGUGGUGUGACGCUGAAAAUUUUGAAUAAGAUACAGAAAGGAUGGGGUCAUGCAAACAUAUCAAAUCUGCAGUCCCCCAAGUAUGACUUCCUUGAUAACUGAAGGAGUACUGAUUGAAAGUUUGAAACUUUCCAGAGAUUGGCUAUCUAUCUUCUCCUGUGGUUGCCUGAUUGGUGUUAUCCCUUGAAGCCAAGGCUAAACUCUAAAGUAUUGAGUUAGUCUUGGUAACUAAAAUUUGACAGUAACUUCUUUUGGGAGGAAACUGCUACAAAAGCACUCUGGCGUCGAAAAUGUAGCAGAGUGACAUUGGAAAGAUAUUUGUGUAUAUUCUACAGCUUAGAGUGCUUAAUUGUUCAUCUACAAUAAGUAUAAAGGUUUUGAUGUAGUCAGGGAGCAUUAAAAACAUAGAAGCAGAGAAGCAUAUGGAGCUGCAGCAAACUUCUCCGAUGGUUCUUAUGCCUACAAGAUCUGGUUCAAGCAUUUCCAGAUAUGAAUGGUACAAUCAAUACAAUGACUCAAACUCCUAGUUACAAAAGCAUGAAUGCUAAUUAUUUGUUAUAUAGUAAAAUAACUCUCCACAAACUCAAGUCUUCAAUCAACGCCAUUAUAUCCAUGGAAAAACAUGGAUGAACACAAACUUAAUAAUGCCUGUGUCCUUAUGGGUGGAUUUAUAUAUAGAAGUACACGUUCAUCUAUGUAUAUAGAGGUAGGUUCAUAGGAGAAUGAUAUCUAUUUAAGAAAAUAAGAAAAUGGCCAAAUUACAUACAAAAUCACAUGUGAUUUUACAUUAAAGGCCCAAAAAGUGUGCGGGCGACCCUA